CAGACUAUGCCUGAUUAAAGGAUCAUUUUGAUAGAAUGAAUUAUGUUGACAAAUUUAACUGGUCUGA
RNAcentral lists this transfer RNA (67 nucleotides) under Rhipiphorothrips cruentatus. RNAcentral's name for it is "tRNA-Ile". The record is from RNAcentral. Lineage: Eukaryota; Metazoa; Arthropoda; Insecta; Thysanoptera; Thripidae.